GUCCAGCUGAUGUGUCUCAAAUAGGGCGAAACGCGGGUACUGGAU
This 45-nucleotide non-coding RNA is filed under the name Schistosoma mattheei. Lineage: Eukaryota; Metazoa; Platyhelminthes; Trematoda; Strigeidida; Schistosomatidae. The record is from RNAcentral.